This 1696-nucleotide unclassified non-coding RNA is filed under the name uncultured Spizellomycetales. RNAcentral's name for it is "sequence contains 18S rRNA gene, ITS1, 5.8S rRNA gene, ITS2, 28S rRNA gene". The stretch from base 644 to 1696 matches the Rfam family "Eukaryotic large subunit ribosomal RNA", at positions 1 to 961 of the family's 3401-position model. Lineage: Eukaryota; Fungi; Chytridiomycota; Chytridiomycetes; Spizellomycetales. The record is from RNAcentral.
GGUUGGAUCAUUACAGAGAGAAACAGGAUCUGUAUUAGUCCUGGCAAAACACCUUUUGUGAACUGUUUUUGUCCCUGGCAGUGGGGUGGGGAAGGGUGCACGCUCUUCUUUGCCUGUCAGCCCAGAACCCGUUUUUGCGGGUUCUACGGCCGUGGACAAGCUGCCAACCGUGUCUGCAAAACACCUUUCUGUUAACCUGCUGGCUGACAAUGCUGAACCAUUGCAACAAAUGAUUCAAACAACUUUUGGCAACGGAUCUCUUGGCUCUCGCAACGAUGAAGAACGCAGCGAAAUGCGAUAAGUAGUAUGAAUUGCAGAAUUCAGUGAAUCAUCAAAUCUUUGAACGCACAUUGCGCUCCCUGGCAGUCCAAGGAGCAUGCCCGUUUCAGAAUCAUAAACAAACCUCUCUCCCAAGCCCUGCGUGUCCUGCACGUGGGGCGGACGGGGAGGAGCUGGACGGAUUGAGUGGCGCCGCUCACCCAACUGUCUGAAACCCAUUGUCCCAGCCGCCGCUGUGGCCUGUGAGGCCUACGGUCACAAAGUGCAACAGCUCUUUCUUAGUCUCUUGCCCGCUUUGCUGUUGGAUCACGCCACACGCGCUUGGGAUCCCUUACGAUGUGGAGCCUGCUCCACCUCUCAACCUUGAUCUGAAAUCGGGCAAGAAAACCCGCUGAACUUAAGCAUAUCAAUAAGCGGAGGAAAAGAAACUAACAAGGAUUCCCCUAGUAACGGCGAGUGAAGCGGGAACAGCUCAAAUUUGAAAUCCCCCAGGUCCGCAUGCCUGCGAGAAUUGUAGUUUAGAGAAGCGUCUUCCAGGGUGGCAUGGGUAUAAGUCCUCUGGAAUGGGGCAUCAUAGAGGGUGAGAAUCCCGUUUAUGAUCCAUGGCCUCCACUUUGAUGUGAUACGCUUUCCAAGAGUCAGGUAGUUUGGGAUUGCUGCCUAAAAUGGGUGGUAAAUACCAUCUAAAGCUAAAUAUUGGCGAGAUACCGAUAGCGAACAAGUACCGUGAGGGAAAGAUGAAAAGAACUUUGAAAAGAGAGUUAAACAGUACGUGAAAUUGCCAAAAGGGAAACGCUUGGAGCCAGUAUUGCGUGCAGACAAUCAGCCUCCCAGCCGGGAAACCGGUCUGUGUGGUGCACUUGUCUGCAUGCAGGUCAACAUCAGUUUGACCUUGGGUAAAAAGCUGUGGGAAGGUAGCUUGGGCUUCGGCCCGAGUGUUACAGCCUGCAGUCAUGCCCAGGAUUAGACUGAGGUCUGCAGCGUCAAUCUGGGUACCCGGCUGCCUCCUGAACCCUGUCCCUAGUCAGCUCGCUGACUCGGGGUGGGGCUAGGGAGCUCGGUCGGCUCGCCACGCCAACGCUUGGGAUGUUGACGAAAUGGCUUCAAACGACCCGUCUUGAAACACGGACCAAGGAGUCUAACAUAUAUGCGAGUAUUUGGGUGGCAAACCCUUAUGCGAAAUGAAAGUGAACUUAGGUGGGAUCUUCGGUGCACCAUCGACCGGUCUGGAUUUUUUUGAUAGAUCUGAGUAAGAGCAUAUCUGUUGGGACCCGAAAGAUGGUGAACUAUGCCUGAAUAGGGUGAAGCCAGAGGAAACUCUGGUGGAGGCUCGUAGCGAUUCUGACGUGCAAAUCGAUCGUCAAAUUUGGGUAUAGGGGCGAAAGACUAAUCGAACCAUCUAGUAGCUGGUUCCCUC